CCCGCACAAGCGGUGGAGUAUGUGGUUUAAUUCGAUGCAACGCGAAGAACCUUACCUGGUCUUGACAUCCCGGAGACCCUUAGGAAACUAGGGGGUGCUUCCAUCUGGAAGAAUCUGGAGACAGGUGCUGCAUGGCUGUCGUCAGCUCGUGUCGUGAGAUGUUGGAUUAAGUCCCGCAACGAGCGCAACCCUUGCCUUUAGUUGCCAGCAGUUCGGCUGGGCACUCUAAAGGGACUGCCGGUGUUAAACCGGAGGAAGGUGGGGAUGACGUCAAGUCCUCAUGGCCUUUAUGACCAGGGCUACACACGUACUACAAUGGCCGAUACAAAGGGCAGCGACACUGCGAGGUGAAGCCAAUCCCGUAAAAUCGGUCUCAGUCCGGAUUGGAGUCUGCAACUCGACUCCAUGAAGUUGGAAUCGCUAGUAAUCGUGGAUCAGCAUGCCACGGUGAAUACGUUCCCGGGCCUU
RNAcentral lists this ribosomal RNA (468 nucleotides) under uncultured Desulfobulbus sp. RNAcentral describes it as "bacterial SSU rRNA". It matches the Rfam family "Bacterial small subunit ribosomal RNA", at positions 920 to 1382 of the family's 1533-position model. Lineage: Bacteria; Pseudomonadati; Thermodesulfobacteriota; Desulfobulbia; Desulfobulbales; Desulfobulbaceae. The record is from RNAcentral.